RNAcentral lists this ribosomal RNA (417 nucleotides) under uncultured bacterium. RNAcentral describes it as "bacterial SSU rRNA". The stretch from base 39 to 405 matches the Rfam family "Bacterial small subunit ribosomal RNA", at positions 46 to 392 of the family's 1533-position model. The record is from RNAcentral.
UUUAAUUGAUCAUGGCUCAGAGUCCNGCGGNGUAUAGUGCCUAACACAUGCAAGUCGAACGUGCAGCACAGGAGAGCUUGCUCUCUGGUGUGGCGAGUGGCAGACGGGUGAGGAAUACAUCGGAAUCUACUCUGUCGUGGGGGAUAACGUAGGAAACUUACGCUAAUACCGCAUACUGACCUACGUGGUAGAAAGCAGUGUGAUCUUCGGACCUUGCGCGAUUGAAUGAGCCGAUGUCGGAUUAGCUAGUUGGCGGGGUAAAGGCCCACCAAGGCGACGAUCCGUAGCUGGUCUGAGAGGAUGAUCAGCCACACUGNAACUGANACACGGGUCCCAGACUCCUACGUGGAGUGCCAGCAGGUGGGGGAAAUUUUUGGACCAAUGGGCGCAAAGCCUUGAUCCAGCCCAUAACCGGCG